UCCCAUUUUAAAAGUCAA
RNAcentral lists this small nuclear RNA (18 nucleotides) under Arabidopsis thaliana (thale cress). RNAcentral's name for it is "snRNA_13561". The record is from RNAcentral. Lineage: Eukaryota; Viridiplantae; Streptophyta; Magnoliopsida; Brassicales; Brassicaceae.